GACGAACGCUGGCGGCGUGCUUAACACAUGCAAGUCGAACGAUGAAGCUGGAGCUUGCUCCGGUGGAUUAGUGGCGAACGGGUGAGUAACACGUGAGCAAUCUGCCCUUGACUCUGGGAUAACUGCGGGAAACUGUAGCUAAUACCGGAUAUGAGGCUCGAAGGCAUCUUCGGGUCUGGAAAGAUUUUCGGUCAAGGAUGAGCUCGCGGCCUAUCAGCUUGUUGGUGAGGUAAUGGCUCACCAAGGCGACGACGGGUAGCCGGCCUGAGAGGGUGACCGGCCACACUGGGACUGAGACACGGCCCAGACUCCUACGGGAGGCAGCAGUGGGGAAUAUUGCACAAUGGGCGAAAGCCUGAUGCAGCAACGCCGCGUGAGGGAUGAAGGCCUUCGGGUUGUAGACCUCUUUUAGCAGGGAAGAAGCGAAAGUGACGGUACCUGCAGAAAAAGCACCGGCUAACUACGUGCCAGCAGCCGCGGUAA
RNAcentral lists this ribosomal RNA (483 nucleotides) under uncultured bacterium. Its description in RNAcentral is "partial 16S ribosomal RNA". It matches the Rfam family "Bacterial small subunit ribosomal RNA", at positions 28 to 523 of the family's 1533-position model. The record is from RNAcentral.